CCGCCUCUUUUCCCUCAGGUUCCCGCCCGCCCGCCGGCCCGGCCCUCGGGAAGCGAUUCCCGUGAAGGGGGGCGAAACUGGGAAACUGUUCUUCCCUUUCUCAGGCUGGGAGAGCGUUGCGGGAGCAGGCAGUGGGGUGGUGCCGGGACAAGCAGGCGCAGCAGAGGAGGCUCUCCGUAGCUGGGAGCUGCAGCUCGGUUUAACCCCUGGAAGGGCUCUCGACACGGGGCUUUGAGCCUGCACGGGCUGCGGUGCCACUGGAGAUCGAGCCUGAGCCGCGGAAACCGGAGGCAAGGAAGCAGAAGGGCUGGGAAAUGAAGCGCUCUGGAGCCAGGCUCUUUCCAAACUCCCAGGGCGCAAAAUUACAAGCACUAAAGUAAUCGUCAUUAGCGAGGCGGCGUGCAUGCAGCCAAGAAAGCCAAAUGAGACGGGUGGGCACAGCGAUGGCAGCGCCGCUUUAGGAUUGCCCUGCAAUGCCUUUAAAUCCCUGUUUCCAAACUCCAGCGGAACUUUGGAUUUCGUUCUUGGAAUUGUCUGUGCUGUUACUUUUGCCCGUGGUGGCUGAUCCCCAUCUCCGGGCCACUUCAGGGAAGGGGAGAUCCUCCAGGCAUCAGGCUGCUUGCACUCAACAGCCCAUUUUUCCCACUGUUUUCCAAACAAUGAAGAGUUUUUCUUUCCAGUAA
Long non-coding RNA from Vidua macroura (Pin-tailed whydah), 683 nucleotides. RefSeq lists it as uncharacterized. The record is from RefSeq and is a predicted model, not a curated record. The transcript is spliced from 2 exons. Lineage: Eukaryota; Metazoa; Chordata; Aves; Passeriformes; Viduidae.